AGAGUUUGAUCCUGGCUCAGAUUGAACGCUAGCGGCAUGCUUAACACAUGCAAGUCGAACGGUAACAGGUCUAGCUUGCUAGAUGCUGACGAGUGGCGGACGGGUGAGUAACGCGUAGGAAUCUACCUUGUAGAGGGGAAUAACUUGGGGAAACUCAAGCUAAUACCGCAUAAGCCUGAAAGGGGAAAGCAGGGGACUGU
RNAcentral lists this ribosomal RNA (200 nucleotides) under uncultured bacterium. RNAcentral describes it as "partial 16S ribosomal RNA". It matches the Rfam family "Bacterial small subunit ribosomal RNA", at positions 8 to 214 of the family's 1533-position model. The record is from RNAcentral.